GUUACUGCUAACGGAACGAAAACGGCUAAACCAAUUUUGGUACGACUGCACGAAGCUGGAUGAUGAUAAUAAACUCGUGCUGUUGUAGAUUUCAACCAAGCACAGAGUGGAUAUUUUACAAUGUCAAUCAAUACGUACGUUUGAGCAUGAAUCCAAAUUAAUAUAUUUUAUUUUCUU
This is a long non-coding RNA of Xenia sp. Carnegie-2017, 177 nucleotides long. RefSeq lists it as uncharacterized. The record is from RefSeq and is a predicted model, not a curated record. The transcript has 2 exons. NCBI's taxonomy places the organism in Eukaryota, Metazoa, Cnidaria, Anthozoa, Malacalcyonacea, Xeniidae.